This 402-nucleotide ribosomal RNA is filed under the name uncultured prokaryote. RNAcentral's name for it is "bacterial SSU rRNA". It matches the Rfam family "Bacterial small subunit ribosomal RNA", at positions 355 to 774 of the family's 1533-position model. The record is from RNAcentral.
UAGGGAAUAUUAGUAAUGGGCGAAAGCCUGAACUAGCAACACCGCGUGUGCGAAGAAGGCCUUCGGGUUGUAAAGCACUUUUUGGAAGGAUUAGGAAGGAAUGUACUUCCAGAAUAAGUCUCGGCUAACUACGUGCCAGCAGCCGCGGUAACACGUAGGAGGCAAACGUUAUCCGGAUUUACUGGGCGUAAAGCGCGUGUAGGUGGUUUGGUAAGUAGAGCGUGAAAGCUCCUGGCUCAACUGGGAGAGGUCGUUCUAAACUGCCGGACUAGAGGAUGGUAGAGGGAGGUGGAAUUCCGGGUGUAGCGGUGGAAUGCGCAGAUAUCCGGAGGAACACCAGUGGCGAAAGCGGCCUCCUGGCCCAUUUCUGACGCUCAGACACGAAAGCUAAGGUAGCAAACG